RNAcentral lists this unclassified non-coding RNA (193 nucleotides) under uncultured fungus. Its description in RNAcentral is "sequence contains ITS1". Lineage: Eukaryota; Fungi. The record is from RNAcentral.
UUGUUCAUUUGUGGAAGACUCAGAUAAUACAAAAAAACUAGAAUGGUUGGUUGGCCAGCGGCAGGCACCCCCCGGAGGGGGCGAGGCCCUGUCCCACAGGACUGCCUGCCGAAGCACGGUGGACGGGUAGGUAAACAAUGGGUUGGGAGUUUUCACUCUCGUAAUGAUCCCUCCGCUGGUUCACCAACGGAGA